GGCUGUUCAAUAUGGUAAAACCGAACCGUAUCGAAUCGAACCGAAUCGAAAUAGACAAUAUAGUUUGGUUUUGGUAUAUACCAUACAAACCGAAUCAAAGUAGACAAUAUGGUUUGGUUUUGGUAUAUACCAUACAAACCGAAUGGAUGUGAUUUUAUAAGAACCAUAGGAUUUGGAUAUGGUUUGGUUUAUAACCGAAUAAACCAAAUAAAACCGAUCAAAAGUAGAAAACAUGUAAAUAUGUAUAUAUUUUAUAACGAC
RNAcentral lists this long non-coding RNA (261 nucleotides) under Brassica rapa (field mustard). Its description in RNAcentral is "long non-coding RNA (BRAP_LNC007165)". The record is from RNAcentral. Lineage: Eukaryota; Viridiplantae; Streptophyta; Magnoliopsida; Brassicales; Brassicaceae.